This 491-nucleotide ribosomal RNA is filed under the name uncultured bacterium. RNAcentral describes it as "partial 16S ribosomal RNA". It matches the Rfam family "Bacterial small subunit ribosomal RNA", at positions 29 to 506 of the family's 1533-position model. The record is from RNAcentral.
AGUGAACGCUGGCGGUAGGCCUAACACAUGCAAGUCGAACGGCAGCACAGUAAGAGCUUGCUCUUACGGGUGGCGAGUGGCGGACGGGUGAGGAAUACAUCGGAAUCUACUUUUUCGUGGGGGAUAACGUAGGGAAACUUACGCUAAUACCGCAUACGACCUACGGGUGAAAGCAGGGGAUCUUCGGACCUUGCGCGAUUGAAUGAGCCGAUGUCGGAUUAGCUAGUUGGCGGGGUAAAGGCCCACCAAGGAGACGAUCCGUAGCUGGUCUGAGAGGAUGAUCAGCCACACUGGAACUGAGACACGGUCCAGACUCCUACGGGAGGCAGCAGUGGGGAAUAUUGGACAAUGGGCGCAAGCCUGAUCCAGCCAUACCGCGUGGGUGAAGAAGGCCUUCGGGUUGUAAAGCCCUUUUGUUGGGAAAGAAAAGCAGCAGGUUAAUACCCCGCUGUUCUGACGGUACCCAAAGAAUAAGCACCGGCUAACUGCGU